AAAGUUGCACACCUCUGCAGAGUGUAGAACCUAUUCGAAUAGCCGUGCUCACAGUAUUGUGCGAGUUAAGGUUUGGUCACAUAACUAGCACUUCUUCUAGGAUUGGUUGGGUUGGCGUGAGUGUUUUGGGAAAGGUGUCCGGCAAUUGUGCCGUGAGCUACUACGGAUGAGGAGUCCAGUAGCAUUAAAACUUGGAUCCUUGUGUAGGAUCAACCCCACUUAUUUUCCGGUUAGUAAAGAAUUGCUUUGAGAAAACUCUUUUCAAAAAUAAACCCUUGUAUGUGUAAAAUAUAGCUUUACUGCAAAUGAACCUCAGCCUCAUCCUUGAACUAUCCUGUGCAUAUCUGUGUUAUCCCCCUCCAUGGAUGGGGUUGGACUUGUUGAGUACUUUUGUACUCACCCAAUAUAUAUUUGUGGUUUUGCUUCAGAGGAAGAUCCAGACUUCGUGCCCGAAGACAUUGAGUAGGUGAUCGUCCUGGACCCAACCUUGCCUGUGGUUCGGAGUCUCCACAGGAAGCUUCUAACGGCGCAAGACUCUGAAGUUAUCUUAGAUUUCGUUGACAUUCUAGUUUGGCUUGUAGUACUUAUGUUGUCCCACGUGAUAGUGGUGCUUCAGUGCCCACUACCUUAAUAGUUUGUACGGUAAUAAACCAUCUGAUGUAAUAAAUAUGUUAUCAGCCUCCUGGGACUGAUAUUUGUAUCACAUUUAGUCUCUACUUCUGUGGGGACACUUCAGGUGGUAUCAGAGCCGUAGGUUGGCCGUAGGACGUGACCCUUAGGACCAAGGACCUUUUCUAAGCCAGUUUUCCACUAGAUCUUUCCCUGGUUAGCCAUCCUCCCACACAGCACUUACCUUUGGCCCUUGUCUGGUUCCAGAUGGCUGACGACGAAUGGAGUAGCGGAAUCUGCCCCGUAGAGCCUGGCCUCCCUAAGUUGUUGCUACUCAGCCUGGAACGCAUCGGAGUUGUGGACCCACCGGAGUACAUCUACCAGGAGUACGACUCCAGGGGCACCCUUCGGUGCGACAUGAUGAUCUUCGUGGGAGUAAGUAGCAAGUUCUGCAUAUUUGAGGUUGCUUUCUACCUAAGUACAUGGUAGGAGUAAGUAGCUCGAUAGCUGUGGGCAUAGUGCCCAGGCUUGGUUAGCUAUCUCAGGUUGUGUUCCACCCCACGGUAUUGUUGUGAUAGGUGACAAGUGGUGACAACCUUGUCUGUCCCUUGUAGUCCACCAUAUUCGGGUGUUUUCAUAGCAGUAGUUGCCGAGUGCCAUUGGACUCCCUUCUCACCCCAAUUUGAGUCCUUCUCUGAGGCCACCAAAGCAGAUCAAGUCAGUGAGUAGCAAGUUAUCUAGGUAAUUUAGUGCACUAUCUGGAGUUAGACCUUCUUACGUCUUCUUUCCUAGUGAGACCGAUUGAGUAGUUUUAGGCCUAGUCAAAGCUUACUGUUCCUUGGAUUCGAUAUCCAAGGUAUACUCCCAGGUGAAAGCUAUAAUGGGUCUCUGUGCGCUUGCAGAGUAAUUCGUUUAGGCUAAGGAGUGCCAACAAUAGCUGUCCUGGAUAGAGAGUUGGAUGAGGAGAUAUGUGGAUCAGCAUGAUGGAUUUGUAGUGAAGGGUCAAGAGAUCAAUGUAUGCAAAUUGGUGAAGUCUUUGUAUGGUCUGAAACAAAUGCCAAAGCAAUGGCAUGAGAAGUUUGACAGAACUUUAACUUCUGCGGGCUUUGUCAUAAAUGAGGCUGAAAGAUGUGUGUCCUAUCGCUAUGGUGGGGGUGUAGGAGUUAUAUUAUGCUUGUAUGUAGACAACAUACUAAUUUUUGGCAUGAACAUUGAUGCAAUCAAUGAGGUCAAGUCUUUUCUAUCAAAGAGUUUUGAUAUGGAAAAUUCGGGAGAAGCUGAUGUGAUUCUGAACAUCAAGUUGAAUAAGGGUGAGAAUGGGAUUACUCUUUCACAGUCUCGUUAUGUGGAGAAGAUCUUGAGCCGCUUUGGCUAUGUGGAUAACAAGCCUUCUCCAACUCUUUAUGAUCCCAGUGUGAUACUCUAAAAGAACAAGGAGAUUGCUAAAGAUCAUCUGAGAUACUCUUAGAUAAUUGGUUCACUCAUAUAUUUAGCUAGCGCAACGAGACCCGAUAUAUCCUUUGCUGUGAGCAAAUUGAGCAGGUUCAUGUCCAACCCGGGUACUGAUCAUUGGCAUGCACUUGAAAUUAUUAUGCGCUAUCUAGUUGGUACUAUGAGUUAUGGGAUUCACUAUUAUAGGCACCCUACUGUAGUUAAGGGAUAUAUUGAUUCGAACUGGAUUUCUGAUGCUGAUGAGAUUUAUGCCACUAGUGGGUAUGUGUUUACCCUUGGAGGUGGUGCGACAUCAUGGAGGUCUUGCAAACAGACCAUCUUGAUGACACCUCGCUCGCCUCGCCCGGGGAUAGGCGUGGGCGCACGAUGUCCGCGUGAAUGGUUCACCGAAAUCCGGCUCCUCAACUUGAUUUUUUAUUUUUUGGUUGCGUGGUCAAGAUAUGGAAGGUCUAAUCGGUUUCUGUUGACACCGUUUUUUGACACAUGUCAAGAAAAACAUUGAAGAGGAGGAUGGUUGCUGAUUUGGAAAGUGCCGGCGUGUACAGUGAGGAGAUCGGCCGAUAAUAUAUACCACUACCGAUGGACCAGAGAAUAUUCUAAAUUUGGUCGAAGAUUCUAAGGAUCUGGUUUUGAUUCGGUUUGUUUUAUUUAGGAAAUCUUUUUCUUUUUUGUCAAGAUAUGUGAUUCUCGUAAUCGGUUAGGACUUGUUGAUUUAGGCUAUAAAUAGCGGUUGUAUGGGACCUAAAAAAGUUGAUACACAUCCAAUAAACAAAGCUUUACAUUUCUCUCGCAAUUUACUUUCAUUGUCGGCGAUUUCGCUAUUUUCUUUUCUCCGAGUUCUUUCGAGCCGAUCAAGGACAUCUCACACUCGAGCGACUUGAUUUGCUGGUAAGUUUUUAUUUACCGAGUAAAUCUAAGCUUUAGCUAACUGGCGCAUCGUUGUUGCUUUGUUUAGAUUUGUUCAAAAGUUAUCAAAUUUUAUAUAGAUUUUGACUUCGGGCGUAUCGCUGUCGUCUCGUCUAGAUUGAUUCACAAUUUAUUGAUAUUUGCUAGAUUUAUAGGUUUUUUCCGAUUGUUUUAGCUUUUAUCGAAUUUAUCCGUCUUGCAAUACAUUCAAAUCGACUGUGAAAUCUUGCAAUAUUAUCAAAAUAUCAUUAAGCCGAUCUAGAUCUAUUUCAAACGUGUUUUUAUAGAGUAGCUUUAUUCAAAUUACACAUUCGUAACUUUUAUAUUGUUACACGUGUGCAAUCGGCUGUCCAGGCCGAUUGUCCUAUUCUGUGUCGGCUAGAUCUGCUGAUACACCUGUUCACUUCUAUACGCUAUCUUACGUUUACACCAAUUGCUUUAACUGUUUUUGUCGUUUUCUGCAUCAGCAAAACUUGCUGAUACGCUGUGUGAGGGUUAUUCGAAAAAUUAGCCGAUACACUCUCAGAUCUAACGUUUGCCAAUUUCUUGUCAAUUUACAAGUCAAAUUGAUUGGCACAUCUUGAUUCGAAAGGAAUUGCAGUUUGGGCUUGGCGAACGGUGCCCUCAGGCUUGGUAUGUAGAUUUUGCGUCAAUAGUUUCCUAAUCUGAUUACGGAUCCAAUCACGAUACGAGGUCUUGGGCGCUCCUAUAUAUACAACCUAUUGGUUUUCACCAAAAUCAAUCUAAUAUGAGUUAGGGUGCCUCUUCUCGCUGCUGCGUCGCCACCGUAGUCUUCUCCAUUCCGAGCGUCGUCGUGCACUGGCGAACGGGAGAGUCUCCGGAACCUCUCGCCUUUGGGAUUCUACACAGGGAGAAGGCGAAUAAGACUUUUGGGAAGUGCUCGGCGCAACUGCUCCUCCGUCCAAGUCUGGUGUUACUGCGUCAUCUACGACAUCGUCUACUGCACUCUGUUCGCAAGACCGUCUUCGUCCCGUCAGCGCCAUUCGUCUUCCCUAAGACCAAGACUCAGUUGUUCAUAGAUUCAUGGGUAUGCGUAUGCCAGGAACCACCUGACAUACCAUGUAGCUCCUCCACCAGCACCCGCAGCCCACUACUUCGAAGGCAUACACCCUUUGUGGUUCUGAGACGCAGGCGCCACGACGCUUCCAUAGUAUGUAAUUUGGCUUUAUAUUUAUUUUCUUUUAUUAUCAUUAAUUAUGAGUGUCAAUAUAUAUUGAUCGGUCACCAUGUUAUUUGUAUGUAUCUUGAGUAAUUAUUGCAUCAUAUAUUGGACUUGUAAUUGCUAAAGCAUCGCAUAUAUAAUUUUCUUGAA
This is a long non-coding RNA of Panicum virgatum (switchgrass), 4300 nucleotides long. RefSeq lists it as uncharacterized. The transcript is spliced from 2 exons. NCBI's taxonomy places the organism in Eukaryota, Viridiplantae, Streptophyta, Magnoliopsida, Poales, Poaceae. The record is from RefSeq and is a predicted model, not a curated record.